UACGUAGGGUGCAAGCGUUAAUCGGAAUUACUGGGCGUAAAGCGUGCGCAGGCGGCUUUGCAAGACAGAUGUGAAAUCUCCGGGCUUAACCUGGGAACUGCAUUUGUGACUGCAUGGCUGGAGUGCGGGAGAGGGGGAUGGAAUUCCGCGUGUAGCAGUGAAAUGCGUAGAUAUGCGGAGGAACACCGAUGGCGAAGGCAAGCCCCUGGGCCUGCACUGACGCUCAUGCACGAAAGCGUGGGGAGCAAACAGG
Molecule: ribosomal RNA, 253 nt
Filed under: uncultured bacterium
Lineage: Bacteria
Description: partial 16S ribosomal RNA
Rfam family: Bacterial small subunit ribosomal RNA
Source: RNAcentral